Eurytemora carolleeae is the source of this 1563-nucleotide long non-coding RNA. RefSeq lists it as uncharacterized. The transcript has 4 exons. Lineage: Eukaryota; Metazoa; Arthropoda; Copepoda; Calanoida; Temoridae. The record is from RefSeq and is a predicted model, not a curated record.
UCAUUCAGAUUCCUCAAAAAAUUAAGACAGGAGUCCAAAAUGUAUUCAAAUGAGAAAUCUGUACCCUCUCCUUUUAUGUGGGACCGAACAUUUUGUGGAAUUUGAAGAAUUCUAAUAAACUUUCAAUGUUCAGGAUUUCUGAAAAACCUGGAGAAUCCCUGUGAUGAACGUGAAGAAGUUGGAGCGGAGAAAGUUGAAACUGAAACUACACAUGAAAAUUCGAAAUUUCUCCUACGUUUCUAAAAUUCUUGAUUAUUUAUCCUUAUACUAAAGAAUCAAUGUCCCGAAUUAUAUAACCCUAUAUAAUCUUUUAAUCUUAUCAAGCCAUGAGAAAUGUUAAUCAUGAGCUUUUUUAUACAGAAUUCUUUAUCUUAUUGAGAUUACACAAGAAAGAAAACUUUUAAUUUGAGAGUAAAGAUUUUAUUUUAUAUAACAAAGAUUCUAAUUUUGAAAUAAUAAUUUUACCUUGAAAACUAUAUAUCGUCUUUUUCAGGCGAAGAAUGGGUUGAUUAUAUUUAUAACCCUAUCAAGUCUCCAGGUCUCAGCUUUUACGAAGUUUAUAAAACAUCUUUUAAAGAAUUGUUUUCGAUAAUAAAAAAGGUCUUGAGCUAAAAAACUUUAAUAUAUGUAAUGAUGUUAUAUAAUAGUGAUACAGAUCUUAGAUUAAGCGUGUUCUCCAUAACUUCAACCAUCCUACAAAUCUACCACCUACAACAUCAUCCUACAAUCUUCAUUCGUCGAGUAAAUGAAACUCAGGACCGUCUCUACCCUGAUGUUCAUAUACUCCUCCGUCUGACAGAUCUGAUGGAGUAAAUACUCUCAACCUGGAGAAGUCUUCUGAUGUCGUCUUCUAUCUUCAGAACUACUCUAGACUCCGUUGGCCGUCUUCCACCAUCGUGAUUCUUCCUGACCAUCUUCCUGAGCAUGUAAAUGUGAGCUCACCUCCUCUUAUCCAAGUCUCGGAGUGCUGAUUGAUCUGACCGAGCUGCCUCCGACUGGACAACACAGAUUUCGAGGACUUAUGUUGGAACGUCAUAUGCUUUAGACGUGUCCUGUUAAGAUUCCUCAAGAUCAGAGAACAAUAUCAAGGACGUCGUCUUCCCCUUGGUUCUCCGAUACUCUCCUUCACUGCUUUAAGGAUUGCACCUAAAGACUCAAAAGGACUCUGAAUGAAGCAUAAGAUAACCUCUCUCUGAACUGUAGCUCAUAUCAAGACCCCAGCCCGAGCAACUUUGUAAGUGUGUUUUUAAAUACUGAACUCUUUGCCAAUAUGAUUUUUAAUGAUUCAAAAAACUAAAUUUCUUUAUUGAGACCUGGAGCAAAUUUUUGUAAACAUAUACGUAUAAAUUCUGUUAUAUUAUAAUAAUUUAAUUUCAGUUCACAGUGUGAGAGCUGAAGUUGAGGAUAAACUACUUCAAUAAAGCUUAUAUAAACAUAACACUCGUGUAUUAAUGUGGUGCGCUGGUUAUAAGGGAAUACUCGCCCUAGAUAUGAGUGAGCUUUUAUGUUUUUAAAGUCUCAAAAACAACGUUACGAGUACACAUUUGCCUUGAAAAAUAUUUG